Molecule: ribosomal RNA, 253 nt
Filed under: uncultured bacterium
Lineage: Bacteria
Description: partial 16S ribosomal RNA
Rfam family: Bacterial small subunit ribosomal RNA
Source: RNAcentral
UACGUAGGGUGCAAGCGUUAAUCGGAAUUACUGGGCGUAAAGCGUGCGCAGGCGGUUGGGCAAGUCAGAUGUGAAAUCCCCGGGCUUAACCUGGGAAUUGCAUUUGUGACUGCACGGCUAGAGUGUGUCAGAGGGGGGUAGAAUUCCACGUGUAGCAGUGAAAUGCGUAGAUAUGUGGAGGAAUACCGAUGGCGAAGGCAGCCCCCUGGGAUAACACUGACGCUCAUGCACGAAAGCGUGGGGAGCAAACAGG